RNAcentral lists this ribosomal RNA (502 nucleotides) under uncultured bacterium. RNAcentral's name for it is "partial 16S ribosomal RNA". It matches the Rfam family "Bacterial small subunit ribosomal RNA", at positions 30 to 523 of the family's 1533-position model. The record is from RNAcentral.
AUUGAACGCUGGCGGCAUGCCCUACACAUGCAAGUCGAACGGCAGCACGGGAGCUUGCUCCUGGUGGCGAGUGGCGAACGGGUGAGUAAUAUAUCGGAACGUACCCUAGAGUGGGGGAUAACGUAGCGAAAGUUACGCUAAUACCGCAUACGAUCUACGGAUGAAAGUGGGGGAUCGCAAGACCUCAUGCUCAUGGAGUUGCCGAUACCGGAUUAGCUAGUUGGUGGGGUAAAAGCCUACCAAGGCGACGAUCAGUAGCUGGUCUGAGAGGACGAGCAGCCACACUGGAACUGAGACACGGUCCAGACUCCUACGGGAGGCAGCAGUGGGGAAUUUUGGACAAUGGGGGCAACCCUGAUCCAGCAAUGCCGCGUGAGUGAAGAAGGCCUUCGGGUUGUAAAGCUCUUUUGUCAGGGAAGAAACGGUUCAGGCUAAUAUCCUGGGCUAAUGACGGUACCUGAAGAAUAAGCACCGGCUAACUACGUGCCAGCAGCCGCAGUAA